UUCCAGUGGUAAAUCACAGAUGUGCUGCAGACAGCAGAGAUCUGGGAUUCUUUUGAUGUGACAGGAGUGCAAUGGAACAACAUUAUGGUCUGCUAUUAAUUAUGAAGAGGAUCAAAAUCUUAGUCAAAUCUGACUGCAUCCCUAAGAGAUGACAGCGAGUUCAAGGGAGCUUUGGAUGAGCAAUGAGCUUCAACCAGCAUGCUUUUUGCUUGGCAAGUUAAACUAAUCCAGUUCAAGACUAGAGGCAUGUUGGCUUAGAAUUAUGGAUGAAAGCAGUACACAUGUGUCCUCAAAAUAUUUGAUCCUGUAAAAAUGGUGAUACGUAUCAGAGACAGUGGAGAGUGGACUGCAGAAUGUGAA
This is a long non-coding RNA of Homo sapiens (human), 360 nucleotides long. RefSeq lists it as uncharacterized. The transcript is spliced from 3 exons. The record is from RefSeq and is a predicted model, not a curated record. NCBI's taxonomy places the organism in Eukaryota, Metazoa, Chordata, Mammalia, Primates, Hominidae.